Zingiber officinale is the source of this 161-nucleotide long non-coding RNA. RefSeq lists it as uncharacterized. NCBI's taxonomy places the organism in Eukaryota, Viridiplantae, Streptophyta, Magnoliopsida, Zingiberales, Zingiberaceae. The record is from RefSeq and is a predicted model, not a curated record. The transcript is spliced from 3 exons.
AGGUUUUCCCCUUUCUGGUGAGUGAGGUUUGGUGUCAACGGGAUUAAGCUGUUGUUGGAGCUGAGGAAUCUGAUCAUUAUUCGUACACUUAGGACAUUGAUUCGAGACGGUGUCUCGACGAGGGAUCAAUUUCGGAUUGGACUUUUUGAUUGGAGGCGGGU